Molecule: long non-coding RNA, 3128 nt
Filed under: Homo sapiens (human)
Lineage: Eukaryota; Metazoa; Chordata; Mammalia; Primates; Hominidae
Description: ARHGEF38 divergent transcript, transcript variant 1 (ARHGEF38-DT)
Source: RNAcentral
AGGGCUUGUGCGUGGCUUUUGGCUAGAGUUACUCACAGGUGACCCACGGAGUCAGUGCAGGGGCUAUGAGAAUUUGCAUUUGCAUCAAAACGAUGCAGAAUCAAGACUGAAAGAAGUUAAGUAACUUCACUCUAGAUCAUCUGGUAGAGGGUAUAAAGGAGAUCUAGCCCUGGGAAGUUAGGCUCUAAAACCUGUGCCGUUCCUAUGAAAGCACAUUUCCUUCAUAAAAGGGUAAAUCAAAGUGAAAGAAGUCAUUAAGUCAGGUAACAAAUACUUAUCAAGUGCCUGUUGUUUGCUGGACAUAGCAGGAGUGCUCCCAGGCAAGGAAUAGACACCUAUUUUUCAGACUUCUGAUCUCUUUGGGGAUUGCCAAAAUGACCUCAAGUAGUGAAGAUAUAGUGGAAUAAUCUGUAUUUCUGCUGACCUUGAUGACAUUUGGAUCUCAUUUGAGGUACUAAGAAGAAUAAGCAAUUGGUUUGAAAAAAGCCCUUUUAAGAGCAAAAUGAAUUCUGCUAAAGUUGAAGCAGGAACAAAUAUCAAAUUUAUGGUGAAGCUCAGGUGGAAGAAUGAUGAAAUCACUGAUGCUUUACAAGAAGUUUAUGGGGACAAUGCCUUAAAGAAAUCAGCAGUUUACAAAUGGAUAACUUGUUUUAGGAAAGGAUGAGAUGCUGAAGAUAAAUCCUGCAGUGGCAAAUUCAUCCACAUCAAUUUGUUGUCCAGGAAACAUGGUGCUGGCAUCUGCUCAGCUUCUGGGGAGGCCUCAGGAAACUUACAAUCAUGGUGGAAGGCAAAGGGAGAGCUGGCACUUCACAUGGCCAGAGCAGGAGGAAGAGAGUGGUGAGAAGGUGCUACACACUUUUAAACAACCACAUCUCAUGAGAACGAACUCACGUCAUGAGAACAGCACUGAGUGGAAUGGUGUUAAACCAUUCACGAGAAACCACCUCCAUGAUCCAAUCACCACCCACCAGGCUCCACCUCCAACACUGGGGUUUACAAUUCAACAUGAGAUUUGGAUAGGGACACAGAUCCAAACAAUAUCAGGUACAAUGCUUCUUUUGUUUUAUAGAUGGGGAUGACUAAGUCAGGGAGUUUGAAUAAUUUGUCCAACAUCAUAAAUACUAGGUGAUGAUGUCACAAUUAGUACACAGGUAUAAAAGUUCCUAAUUAUUAUGCCACAUAUAUCAUUGAUAAAACACUUACCUUUUUAAAGAAACUACUUUCUAAUUGUUUUGGACUAAUUAUGUUUUCAUUAUUAGGACACCUCUCUCAGGACCAGUGUGAGACUGACACAUAGUAAGCAAUGAGUAAAUAUAGUUAUUAUUCCUAUGAUUUUCAACAGAUAAAUAAGUCACAUCCUCACUGACCUCAUAUUUCUCACUGUGAAAAAAGAGAAUAACUUUCUAAAUUGCUAGAACUUUAUUUUAUAAGUCAGAACAGGCACUGGCACUAACAAUGACACAUUUUAAUAGCCUAUCUCUAAGCAAUAUUAUUGACAGAACAAAACUCAGCUUUAUUGAUAAAUGCUAAUCUGUAUCUGGCUGCUAAGCUAUAGUAGAAAAAAAUUGUCCUUAGACCAAUAAUAACUCAGUCUCAAUUAUCCAACAGAUAAAUCUCCUAAAGUUCAUCCAAAGAUGAAUAUAACUCAAAAUAUGUGUUAUUUUUCUAAAGUUGUUUACUCAAAGUCGAGGGCAGAAAAAUAUUUGAAGUUUUUAGUGCAAGCACAAGUAUUCCAAUCGGUAUUACAGGUCUCACUUUUGUUUUUCAAACAUGUAUCUAAUUGAUUAAAAUACAAAGACAUGGUUCUCCUUUAAGAAACAAGUAGGGAGCAUUUCUUAUAUUUACAUUUGACCUAUAGUUUACAAACCAAAGACUAAAGUUAAAAUACUGUAAGUCCAUUAAACUCCUAAUGGAUAUGUUUAUUCCCCAACCCCUGCCACUAAAAUUUAUUGCGAUUUGUCUUAUGAUUAUAAAGUGAGAAGCGUUCAUUAUAGACAGUAUUGAAAACAUGUAGGAAGUAAUUCCAAAACCUAGAAGGAAUACUAUUUUUUCAUAUAUAGGACAUCCUUUCAGUGUUUUCUCUAUAUGUCUCUCUAUGUACAUUUCUAUGCAAAUAUAAAAUUAUACCUUGUAUAUUUUGUAACUAUUUUUAAUGGAGAAUAUGUAGUGAUCAUAUCCUUAUGUCAUAUAUUAGUAGGCGUAAUUUAUGUAACUACUUGUCUCGAGUUAGAAUUAGGUAUUCUCAUUUUUUUCUUUAUUACAGAUAAUAAGUCAUUGAACAUCCUCGCACAUAAAUCUUUGUGUACAAGAUCUUCUCUCACCUUUCCACAGACAAGACAGAUGUCUUCUAGAAAACUAAAAUAUGAUUCCAGAAACAUUAAUUUGUUAGUUCAGUGAUAUUUUAUAAAUUACUUGUUCAUAUUUACAGUUAUAGAACAUUUUUCCUCUGAACAUUCUGAGCAGUUUUAUAUUAAAACUUACUUGUUAUUGUUUAAUGGAACCAUUUAUUUUAGUGAUAGGAAUAAAGAAUGUGGCAGGAAAGGAUCUGGAGUCAGAGGACAGAGAAAGAAAAAUGGAAAACUCUUUUGUGCCUCAUUCUUUUGCUCUUGCUAUUCCUUUAUUUCAGAAUACUUGUCCCUGCCUUGUCUACCUAAAUAACUUUUAUUCGGUCUCCUAAAUUUACAUUCAGCUAUAAUGUCAUUUCUCCAUGUGUAUGUAGUGGUUCUAAAUGGGUGUUUUCUUAGUUUUUUGUUUUUUUUUUUUUUUUUUUUAGAAAAAGAACUUUCUUUUAUAUAUAGUAGAAUACAUAUGAAUCAUCCUGGCAAAUUUAUGAAGGUUUUAAACAUAGGUAAAAAGUUGUUUACCUGGGUCCUUUGGACAAAUUUCUCUUCUUCUUUUAUCCUUUUGCAAAGAGAACAAAGAUCAGCAAAUACUAGCAGCCUAAAGCUACACUAUGUGUGGCUUUGCAUGCCUACCAAUCUUUAGUGUUCCCUUGACUCCUGAAAACAAUGGAUUCUAUCAUAUCAUGGAUAUUAAGAGGCACAUUAACGCUUUCUUGUGGAAACAGAUGUUUGGUGGGCUUGUGUUUGUAGAUGAGACAUAUUAAAUACAUCUAUGUUCAUACAGCC